GUAAUCAAAUUUGAAAAUGGGGAAGAGCUUGUUUGUGUUCAUUUUGCUAGUUGCUCUCUUUGCUACCGAUGAGACUAUGAUGAGUGUGACAGAAGCGAAGAUGUGUCAAACGACGAGCCAUGCAUUGAGUUGUGCGACUGACACGACUUGUAAUAGCUCGUGCGAAAAGCAAGGUUUUGCUCAAGGCAAAUGUGAUGGAAUACGUCGUCGUUGUACAUGUUACAAGCAGUGCUGAACAUAUGUUCUCUAAAACUACUUACGCUAUGUACACUGUCACGCGACUUUCGCCUAAAUAAAUAUCAAUAAAGUUUGGCGUUUGUAGCCCUUUACAAAA
Molecule: long non-coding RNA, 334 nt
Organism: Lactuca sativa (garden lettuce)
Lineage: Eukaryota; Viridiplantae; Streptophyta; Magnoliopsida; Asterales; Asteraceae
Source: RefSeq, a predicted model, not a curated record